Molecule: ribosomal RNA, 403 nt
Filed under: uncultured bacterium
Lineage: Bacteria
Description: partial 16S ribosomal RNA
Rfam family: Bacterial small subunit ribosomal RNA
Source: RNAcentral
AUUGAACGCUGGCGGCAGGCCUAACACAUGCAAGUCGAGCGAGCGGCGGACGGGUGCGUAAUGUAUGGGGACUGCCCGAUAGAGGGGGAUCACUACUGGAAACGGUAGCUAAUACCGCAUACUAUCGGAUAACCCAUAGGGGAUUAGCUAGUAGGUGAGGUAAUGGCUCACCUAGGCGACGAUCCCUAGCUGGUCUGAGAGGAUGAUCAGCCACACUGGGACUGAGACACGGCCCAGACGCCUACGGAGGCAGCAGUGGGGAAUAUUGGACAAUGGGCGAAAGUCUGAUCGAGCCAGGCCGCGUGUAUGAAGAAGGCCUUCGGGUUGUAAAGUACUGUUGGUAGAGAAGCGGUAUCUACAGAGUAAGCAACGGCUAACUACGUGCCAGCAGCCGCGGUAAUAC